This 1342-nucleotide ribosomal RNA is filed under the name Streptosporangium roseum. Its description in RNAcentral is "bacterial SSU rRNA". It matches the Rfam family "Bacterial small subunit ribosomal RNA". Lineage: Bacteria; Bacillati; Actinomycetota; Actinomycetes; Streptosporangiales; Streptosporangiaceae. The record is from RNAcentral.
CGCAAGCGUGCUUAAUGCGAAUUGGAAAGCCCUUCGGGGUACUCGAGCGGCACGGGUGAGUAACACGUGAGUAACCUGCCCCUGACUCUGGGAUAAGCCCGGGAAACUGUCUAAUACCGGAUACGACCACUUCUCGCAUGGGAUGGUGGUGGAAAGUUUUUUCGGUUGGGGAUGGACUCAGCUUGUUGGUGGGGUAACGGCCUACCAAGGCGACGACCCGGCCUGAGAGGGCGACCGGCCACACUGGGACUGAGACACGGCCCAGACUCCUACGGGAGGCAGCAGUGGGGAAUAUUGCGCAAUGGGCGAAAGCCUGACGCAGCGACGCCGCGUGGGGACGGCCUUCGGGUUGUAAACCUCUUUCAGCAGGGACGAAGUUGACGUGUACCUGCAAAGCGCCGGCUAACUACGUGCCAGCAGCCGCGGUAAUACGUAGGGCGCAAGCGUUGUCCGGAAUUAUUGGGCGUAAAGAGCUCGUAGGUGGCUUGUCACGUCGGGUGUGAAAGCUUGCUUAACUCCAGGUCUGCAUUCGAUACGGGCUGGCUAGAGGUAGGUAGGGGAGAACGGAAUGGUGUAGCGGUGAAAUGCGCAGAUAUCAGGAGGAACACCGGUGGCGAAGGCGGUUUGGGCCUUACCUGACGCUGAGGAGCGAAAGCGUGGGGAGCGAACAGGAUUAGAUACCCUGGACGCUGUAAACGUUGGGCGCUAGGUGUGGGGACCUUCCACGGUUUCCGCGCCGUAGCUAACGCAUUAAGCGCCCCGCCUGGGGAGUACGGCCGCAAGGCUAAAACUCAAAAUUGACGGGGGCCCGCACAAGCGGCGGAGCAUGUUGCUUAAUUCGACGCAACGCGAAGAACAGGCUUGACAUCGCCCGGAAACACUCAGAGAUGGGUGCCUCUUCGGAUCGGGUGACAGGUGGUGCAUGGCUGUCGUCAGCUCGUGUCGUGAGAUGUUGGGUUAAACCCUUGUUCAAUGUUGCCAGCACGCUCCUUCGGGGGUGGUGGGCAUUGGAGACUGCCGGGGUAACUCGGAGGAAGGUGGGGAUGACGUCAAGUCAUCAUGCCCCUUAUGUCUUGGGCUGCAAACAUGCUACAAUGGCCGGUACAGAGGGUUGCGAUACCGUGAGGUGGAGCGAAUCCCAAAAAGCCGGUCUCAGUUCGGAUUGGGGUCUGCAACUCGACCCCAUGAAGCUAGUAAUCGCAGAUCAGCAACGCUGCGGUGAAUACGUUCCCGGGCCUUGUACACACCGCCCGUCACGUCACGAAAGUCGGCAACACCCGAAGCCCGUGGUGUCUGGGGGGAGCGGUCGAAGGUGGGGCUGGCGAUUGGGACGAAGUCGUAA